AUUCGCCCUUAGAGUUUGAUCCUGGCUCAGGACGAACGCUGGCGGCGUGCCUAACACAUGCAAGUCGAACGGAACUGUUUUGAAAGAUUUCUUCGGAAUGAAUUUGAUUUAGUUUAGUGGCGGACGGGUGAGUAACGCGUGAGUAACCUGCCUUCAAGAGGGGGAUAACAUUCUGAAAAGAAUGCUAAUACCGCAUGACAUAUCGGAAUCACAUGAUUUUGAUAUCAAAGAUUUUAUCGCUUGAAGAUGGACUCGCGUCCGAUUAGUUAGUUGGUGAGGUAACGGCUCACCAAGACCGCGAUCGGUAGCCGGACUGAGAGGUUGAACGGCCACAUUGGGACUGAGACACGGCCCAGACUCCUACGGGAGGCAGCAGUGGGGGAUAUUGCGCAAUGGGGGCAACCCUGACGCAGCAACGCCGCGUGAAGGAUGAAGGUUUUCGGAUUGUAAACUUCUUUUAUUAAGGACGAAAAAUGACGGUACUUAAUGAAUAAGCUCCGGCUAACUACGUGCCAGCAGCCGCGGUAAUACGUAGGGAGCAAGCGUUGUCCGGAUUUACUGGGUGUAAAGGGUGCGUAGGCGGCUUUGCAAGUCAGAUGUGAAAUCUAUGGGCUCAACCCAUAAACUGCAUUUGAAACUGUAGAGCUUGAGUGAAGUAGAGGCAGGCGGAAUUCCCCGUGUAGCGGUGAAAUGCGUAGAGAUGGGGAGGAACACCAGUGGCGAAGGCGGCCUGCUGGGCUUUAACUGACGCUGAGGCACGAAAGCGUGGGUAGCAAACAGGAUUAGAUACCCUGGUAGUCCACGCUGUAAACGAUGAUCACUAGGUGUGGGGGGUCUGACCCCUUCCGUGCCGGAGUUAACACAAUAAGUAAUCCACCUGGGGAGUACGGCCGCAAGGUUGAAACUCAA
Molecule: ribosomal RNA, 909 nt
Filed under: uncultured bacterium
Lineage: Bacteria
Description: bacterial SSU rRNA
Rfam family: Bacterial small subunit ribosomal RNA
Source: RNAcentral